Salvelinus namaycush (lake trout) is the source of this 1409-nucleotide long non-coding RNA. RefSeq lists it as uncharacterized. The transcript is spliced from 3 exons. NCBI's taxonomy places the organism in Eukaryota, Metazoa, Chordata, Actinopteri, Salmoniformes, Salmonidae. The record is from RefSeq and is a predicted model, not a curated record.
CUCUCCCUCAGUCUCACUUAAGGACACCUCAGUCUCCCUCAGUACAGCUGAUCCAGUAUCAGUGGGCAGUUGUGUGAAUCUGAACUACAGCCAAACAUCCUGUGACAAACUUUACCUGGUUCCAGAUCAGUGGGGGUAAACCAGCCCGGGUAGCAUCUGGACAGACGCCCUCAAUGUGACUGUUGGUGAUGGAGGGCUGUACUACUGUGAAGCAAGAGAUGAUCACAGCAUUGAGAAUUCAAUGAAAGUGCAGCUAGCUAUUGAAGGAGGAGAAAAUCCAGGACUUUUAGGGUGAUGUGACCACACCGAUGGCAAUACCACAUCCUAACUCCCUGUUUGGGACGGUGCACACUAACCAGCCGACGGCCGAAGAGGAAGCAGAGGAACCAGCAGAAGACCAGCCUGAGUAGAUCCACUACGGCGAGGAACCAGAGGAACCUGCAGAAGACCAGCCUGAGUAGAUCCACUACGGCAAGGAACCAGAGGAACCUGCAGAAGACCAGCCUGAGUAGAUCCACUACGGCGAGGAACCAGAGGAACCUGCAGAAGACCAGCCUGAGUAGAUCCACUACGGCGAGGAACCAGAGGAACCUGCAGAAGACCAGCCUGAGGAGAUCCACUACGGUGAGAGACUUCUCCAAACUUCGGCUCAAAGAGACCCCAGCUGCAGCCCUGGACAGGGAACAGGGGCAGGAGAGUGAAUACGCUGAAGUCAGUGUGACCGGGAGAGGGGCCCAGGAACCUCCAGUUAACGACCUAGAUUUGGUUUACUCACAAGUGGAUAAGAAAAGUGCAUUUGAAGUAUUUUUGGUAUGUACAGUAUGUAUUGAGUAUUUGUUUUCUAAUUGGCAGAUUUUUUUAUUUCUAACUUUGUGCAACUCAAUUAUUUGCAUAUUUGUUGAAUUUUCUGAUGUGAAAAGUGCUUAACUGAUUAAGUGUGGGUUCCACAAGCUAUAGCGAAUUCACAUGAUUGUGCAACUGAAGGCAGUUUAAAGCCAUAUAAAGUCAACUAUGACUGCAUUGCUCGCUCUCUGGGGUUUUACGCUCGGUUUCUGUAUAAGCACUUUGUGACAACUGCUGUUGUAAAAAGGGCUCUAUAAAUACAUUAAAUGGUUGAUUGCUUGAGGAGAGACACAAAAUUAGCUGGAGACAGUGGUUUGAAACAAGACAGGAAGUUGGUGAAGUAAGUGUAAAUAGCCUGACUGAUGAUCAAAUCUAUUGGUCACAGUUUCCCUUUUCUUUAAUACAGUUAUCUUUAUAAUAUUAUAUACAGUCCAUGUAUCUUUUUAGGAGUUAUCAUGUUAUCAUUUUAUGUUGAGUGUUGAUCAAAAGACACAAUUGAGGCAGAUUUUGAGGAUGUUUAUUAAUUGCAUCGUAAUAAAAACGUUUAAAUGAAAUUUCCAUUGAAU